GACGAACGCUGGCGGCGUGCCUAAUACAUGCAAGUCGAGCGAGCAAUUUUAGCAGAAUACCUUCGGGUAGGAAGCUAAGAGCGCGAGCGGCGGAUGGGUGAGUAACACGUGGGCAACCUACCCUUUAGCCGGGGAUACCACUUGGAAACAGGUGCUAAUACCGAAUAAGAAGCAAGAGCGCAUGCUCAAGCUAUGAAAGGCGGCUUUAAGCUGCCACUAAAGGAUGGGCCCGCGGCGCAUUAGCUAGUUGGUAAGGUAACGGCUUACCAAGGCGAUGAUGCAUAGCCGAGUUGAGAGACUGAACGGCCACAUUGGGACUGAGACACGGCCCAAACUCCUACGGGAGGCAGCAGUAGGGAAUCUUCCACAAUGGACGCAAGUCUGAUGGAGCAACGCCGCGUGAGUGAAGAAGGUUUUCGGAUCGUAAAGCUCUGUUGUUGGCGAAGAAGGAUAAGGAUAGUAACUGAUUCAUAUUUGACGGUAAUCAACCAGAAAGUCACGGCUAACUACGUGCCAGCAGCCGCAGUAA
Molecule: ribosomal RNA, 529 nt
Filed under: uncultured bacterium
Lineage: Bacteria
Description: partial 16S ribosomal RNA
Rfam family: Bacterial small subunit ribosomal RNA
Source: RNAcentral